UACGGAGGGUGCAAGCGUUGUUCGGAUUUAUUGGGCGUAAAGCGCGUGUAGGCGGUUUCUUAAGUCUGAUGUGAAAGCCCCGGGCUCAACCCGGGAAGUGCAUUGGAUACUGGGAGACUUGAAUACGGGAGAGGGUAGUGGAAUUCCUAGUGUAGGAGUGAAAUCCGUAGAUAUUAGGAGGAACACCAGUGGCGAAGGCGACUUCCUGGCCUGUUCUUGACGCUGAGGCGCGAAAGCUAGGGUAGCAAACGGG
This 253-nucleotide ribosomal RNA is filed under the name uncultured bacterium. RNAcentral describes it as "partial 16S ribosomal RNA". It matches the Rfam family "Bacterial small subunit ribosomal RNA", at positions 524 to 776 of the family's 1533-position model. The record is from RNAcentral.